Molecule: ribosomal RNA, 484 nt
Filed under: uncultured bacterium
Lineage: Bacteria
Description: partial 16S ribosomal RNA
Rfam family: Bacterial small subunit ribosomal RNA
Source: RNAcentral
AUUGAACGCUGGCGGCAGGCCUAACACAUGCAAGUCGAGCGGAUGAAGGGUGCUUGCUCCUGGAUUCAGCGGCGGACGGGUGAGUAAUGCCUAGGAAUCUGCCGGGUAGUGGGGGAUAACGUCCGGAAACGGGCGCUAAUACCGCAUACGUCCUGAGGGAGAAAGUGGGGGGUCUUCGGACCUCACGCUAUCAGAUGAGCCUAGGUGGGAUUAGCUAGUUGGUGGGGUAAGGGCCUACCAAGGCGACGAUCCGUAACUGGUCUGAGAGGAUGAUCAGUCACACUGGAACUGAGACACGGUCCUGACUCCUACGGGAGGCAGCAGUGGGGAAUAUUGGACAAUAGGCGAAAGCCUGGUCCAGCCAUGCCGCGUGUGUGACGAAGGUCUUCGGAUUGUAAAGCACUUUAAGUUGGGAGGAAGGGCAGUAAGUUGAGACCUUGCUGUUUUGACGGUACCAACAGAAUAAGCACCGGCUAACUUCGUG